RNAcentral lists this ribosomal RNA (499 nucleotides) under uncultured bacterium. Its description in RNAcentral is "partial 16S ribosomal RNA". It matches the Rfam family "Bacterial small subunit ribosomal RNA", at positions 28 to 507 of the family's 1533-position model. The record is from RNAcentral.
GACGAACGCUGGCGGCGUGCCUAAUACAUGCAAGUCGAGCGAAGUUUUUCUGGUGCUUGCACUAGAAAAACUUAGCGGCGAACGGGUGAGUAACACGUAAAGAACCUGCCUCAUAGACUGGGACAACUAUUGGAAACGAUAGCUAAUACCGGAUAACAGUAUUUCUCGCAUGAGAGAUAUUUAAAAGUUAGUUAUGCUAACACUAUGAGAUGGCUUUGCGGUGCAUUAGCUAGUUGGUGGGGUAAAGGCCCACCAAGGCGACGAUGCAUAGCCGACCUGAGAGGGUGAUCGGCCACACUGGGACUGAGACACGGCCCAGACUCCUACGGGAGGCAGCAGUAGGGAAUCUUCCGCAAUGGGCGAAAGCCUGACGGAGCAACGCCGCGUGAGUGAAGAAGGAUUUCGGUUCGUAAAGCUCUGUUGUUAGGGAAGAAUGGAUAUGUAGUAACUAUACAUGUAAGAGACGGUACCUAACCAGAAAGCCACGGCUAACUACGUG